RNAcentral lists this ribosomal RNA (168 nucleotides) under Apogon talboti (flame cardinalfish). RNAcentral's name for it is "partial 12S rRNA". Lineage: Eukaryota; Metazoa; Chordata; Actinopteri; Kurtiformes; Apogonidae. The record is from RNAcentral.
CACCGCGGUUAUACGAGAGGCCCAAGCUGACAGUCAUCGGCGUAAAGAGUGGUUAAUUACCCCUAAAACUAAAGCCAAACGUCUUCAAAGUUGUAUAACACAUUCGAAGAUAUGAAGCUCAACCACGAAAGUGGCUUUACACUCUUUGAAUCCACGAAAGCUAGGAAA